AGUCUGUGAAGCCUUUGGUUUGUCAUGGCUGCCUCUGGGCACUGAUGGCACAGGAGGUGAGGGAAUCACUUCUCUUCUCCUGAGGCAGCUUCCCUAAAAGAAAGGUCAGCCAUGAGGUCACUCAUUAUUGGACCAGAGCUCAGUGCUGCCCAUCUCACCCUUCAUGGAGAACACUGGACAAGAAGAGUCGAGGCCACCAUCCUGUCUGCUAUGAGCUUCCCAGCUUGUCCACCUGGGAAUUGUAAAAUUCCACGUACAGAACCUGGGCUUCUUGAGACCGGGGAGUGUGACAACCCAGUCUGCUCAGUGAUGGAAAGUUCGAAACUGGAAAUGUACCUGGAUGCCACCCUGAGUCAGCCC
Lonchura striata (white-rumped munia) is the source of this 360-nucleotide non-coding RNA. The record is from RefSeq and is a predicted model, not a curated record. Lineage: Eukaryota; Metazoa; Chordata; Aves; Passeriformes; Estrildidae.